ACAGCAGUAGCCGCGGGAAUACGUAGGGUGCAAGCGUUAAUCGGAAUUACUGGGCGUAAAGCGUGCGCAGGCGAUUAUAUAAGUCAGAUGUGAAAUCCCCGGGCUCAACCUGGGACCUGCAUUUGUGACUGUAUAGCUAGAGUACGGUAGAGGGGGAUGGAAUUCCGCGUGUAGCAGUGAAAUGCGUAGAUAUGCGGAGGAGCACCGAUGGCGAAGGCAAUCCCCUGGACCUGUACUGACGCUCAUGCACGAAAGCGUGGGGAGCAAACAGGAUUAGAUACCCCCGUAGUCCCUGUCUCUUAUAC
This 305-nucleotide ribosomal RNA is filed under the name uncultured bacterium. RNAcentral's name for it is "partial 16S ribosomal RNA". It matches the Rfam family "Bacterial small subunit ribosomal RNA", at positions 506 to 807 of the family's 1533-position model. The record is from RNAcentral.